GUUUUUUAUUGUUUGUAUAUUUUAUCUUAAAAACACAACAUUUUCAAUGCAAUGGCAGAUUGCAUUUAUUUUCCGCACAGGGGGAGUUGAGGACAAUGGAAAAUCAAUGGGAGGGGUGUAAAAAAGGCCUUGGAAAAUCCAGGGGGAGGGGUGAAAAAGACCACAGAAAUCCAGGGGGUGGGUUGAUUAGAGACCAAAAUCCAGGGCAUGGUCUGCAAUUAAAGUCAUUUUUCAGGGGUAUCUGCAUAGAUAUCUUAUAUACACUAGAUAGCGUAUCUCUUUUAGUAAAAUUGAAGACAAGAAUAUUCCAGCGGUUACCCCCAUUUGAAUAGAUGGCGGCCAUGUUG
Paramuricea clavata is the source of this 347-nucleotide non-coding RNA. Lineage: Eukaryota; Metazoa; Cnidaria; Anthozoa; Malacalcyonacea; Plexauridae. The record is from the annotation of a GenBank genome assembly.